UUUCCAUGAUAUCGGGAACAAAACAUGUUUUUCUUAAAACAAGGUUGAUAUCAUAGGACUUGUGGCUUCUACAGGAUCAUAUGCCAUCGUUUCACAAUCACAUAACUUGUGUCUUGUGUGUGCAAAGAGACAGACGGCAUCUUGUGGGAGCACUGCUAACAGGGUCAGGGUUUUUUUGUUUUGUUUGCACUUUUGGUUGUCCCUGGAUUAGGAUCUUUGCUGCUGAUGGCGAGCCUUCCCACCAGGACCGAGAGAGUGGCAGAGAGAAACAGUAUCUGUAUCUGCAUCUGCUGCGGUCAUUGAACGCAUCCUGUUUCUACUGCACUUGGUGGUGUGAGCUGAAUGGUCCCUGUUUAGACUGACUGGUUCCUGAACGCACCAUGAGCCGUUUACACUGCUAACCUGAAACCACCAGCCGUGGAUAAUUGCAGAGCACUUCCUGGUACAGCUGGUGACAUCACUCCCUACCAGAUGGCAGAAGUCUACACGGAGAUUAUAAAUUACAGGGAAGUUAACGAUGGGAGACAGGAAUGAAACACAAGAGGGACGGUUAUAAAAGGGAUAAACGAAUGGAGAGAUGGGAUGUAGUGUGACAGUACAGCUGUCUUUUUUAAAUUCAGUAAUUAAAGAAUUGAUAAGGUCCUUAAAGGACCAUAUAAAGACCAUUCACAAUGGUACCGCUACAAAAAUAACUGCCAUAAUUCACCAAGGAUAUCAACUGCUGUCACCAAUGCAGCGCCGGCUGCAGGAUGACGCCAAUAAAGUGUUUCACAAUGAUCAGUGUUUAAUGCUUCAUUAGGCUACUAAUCAAAACUCUGGUUUAGUUGAAGUUUCUGGACAAUUAGGACAGGAUUCAGGACAACUACUUGUAAUUCUGGACUGUCCCGGACUGUUCUGGACUGCAUGGAGGUGGUUUUAAGAGUUUAAAGGAAUUAGAAGUAGUGUCCUUUUUAUUGAAAGUAAAGUCUCAGAAUGUCACAUUGUAUAGAAUGGAAAUGAAUGGAAACCAAUGGCUGCCUAAAAAGGAAGGAAAGUACAGAUUCAUAAUACAAUAUUAAUAUUCAAUAAACAGCUACUGCAAAGGCAA
Molecule: long non-coding RNA, 1087 nt
Organism: Acanthopagrus latus (yellowfin seabream)
Lineage: Eukaryota; Metazoa; Chordata; Actinopteri; Spariformes; Sparidae
Exons: 4
Source: RefSeq, a predicted model, not a curated record